UGAAAGCACAUCGUUGAAAUUCCUUAAUAAUAAAUUUGUUACUAUUCUAUUAUCUUAUUGGAUUAAAUUUGUUACUACUUAAACUACAAGAUUUGAAUAGAAAACAUAAAUUAGAGGACAAAGGCAUAGUUGUUACGUACCGACGGAUAAGUCUGUAUAUGAGACAAAUAAUCUAAAAGCUAACUCCAACAAAAUACCGAGUUUGCUCGUAGAUGUCCGAAAAGAUUUCCGUCCGUACCAACUGCGGUGGGCCGGGCACGUAGCCACAAUGUCGGACAGUAAUUCGGUGAAAAUGAUUCUCGACAACGAUCCGACGGGAACAAGAAGGCGAGGUGCACAGCGAGCAAGGUGAAUCGAUCAGGUGGAGGACGAUUUGCGGACCCUCCGCUGACCGCGUGGUUGGUGUCGUGCAGCCAUAAACCGUGCUGAAUGGAGAAGACUUCUAUGCACUGCACAUUCCUUAGUCUUGUAAUAAAUAAUA
Long non-coding RNA from Armigeres subalbatus, 481 nucleotides. RefSeq lists it as uncharacterized. The record is from RefSeq and is a predicted model, not a curated record. The transcript has 3 exons. NCBI's taxonomy places the organism in Eukaryota, Metazoa, Arthropoda, Insecta, Diptera, Culicidae.